CUCCAUAGUGGAUAUGUCCUGGAAUGGUAUAUCCUCGAAAGAUCCGUCGCCUUUAGGAUGGGACUGCGUCCGAUUAGGUUGUUGGCGGGGUAACGGCCCACCAAGCCUUUUAUCGGUACGGGUUGUGGGAGCAAGAUCCCGGAGAUGGAUUCUGAGACAUGAAUCCAGGCCCUACGGGGCGCAGCAGGCGCGCAAACUUUACAAUGCGAGCAAUCGUGAUAAGGAAACCCUGAGUGCCUGUCGAUGCAGGCUGUUCAUAUAUCUAAAUCAUAUGUGAAGAAAGGGCAGGGCAAGACCGGUGCCAGCCGCCGCGGUAAUACCGGCUGCUCGAGUGAUGGCCACUAUUACUGGGUUUAAAGCGUCCGUAGCUUGACUGUUAGGUCUCUUGGGAAAUCUUCGCGCUCAACGUGAAGGCGUCUAAGAGAUACCGGCAGUCUUGGAACUGGGAGAGGUAAACCGUACUUCGGGGGUAGGAGUGAAAUCUUGUAAUCCUCGAGGGACGACCUAUGGCGAAGGCAGUUUACCAGAACAGCUUCGACAGUGAGGGACGAAAGCUGGGGGAGCAAACGGGAUUAGAUACCCCGGUAGUCCCAGCCGUAAACAAUGUGCGUUAGGUGUGUCGGUAACCACGUGUUACUGAUGCGCCGAAGAGAAAUCGUGAAACGCACCACCUGGGAAGUACGGUCGCAAGGCUGAAACUUAAAGGAAUUGGCGGGGGAGCACCACAACAGGUGGAGCCUG
This 741-nucleotide ribosomal RNA is filed under the name uncultured Methanocorpusculum sp. Its description in RNAcentral is "bacterial SSU rRNA". It matches the Rfam family "Archaeal small subunit ribosomal RNA", at positions 152 to 897 of the family's 1478-position model. The record is from RNAcentral. Lineage: Archaea; Methanobacteriati; Methanobacteriota; Methanomicrobia; Methanomicrobiales; Methanocorpusculaceae.